RNAcentral lists this long non-coding RNA (3202 nucleotides) under Homalodisca vitripennis (glassy-winged sharpshooter). Its description in RNAcentral is "uncharacterized LOC124360269". The record is from RNAcentral. Lineage: Eukaryota; Metazoa; Arthropoda; Insecta; Hemiptera; Cicadellidae.
GACGGACCUCAUGUGUGGAUCACAUCAAUUUUCUCGUACAACCCAACAAUGGUGUUGGAAUAUAGCAUCAUUCAUGCUGUUUGGCAGGCCCGUUUUACCGAAUAGGCACGGUAGGCACGUGCCUAGGGCGCUAGGCAAUCAGCAUUUUUUGGGGGGCGCAAAAAAUGGGAAAACAAAUUGCGUGGUUGUAUCUUCUUGCAUCAUCAUCUAACGGACUCUUUCUAGGCUGUCUUGAGCUGAUAAAUGAAUUUGAUCCAUUUCUCGCCCAACACAUGAUAACAAAGGCAAAAGUAGUGUAUCAUACUUUUUGUCUGACAUUUGCAGUGAAUUUAUGGAGAUUAUGAGCAAAAAAGUACUGAAACAAAUCUUACAUGAAAUCAAGCAAGCUCGCUAUCUCUCUUUAAUCAUAGACUCCACACCUGACGUAUCGCACACAGACCAAUUGGCUGUAGUACUUCGGUAUGUUUCAUUGCCCAAUGCUUGCGCCAACGAACGCCUGAUACAACUCUUAUCUUGCUAACUAUGUACCAUGUGCAGCUCACUCACUAAACCUUGCUGGGUGUUUUGCUGCCGAGAAGGCGUGGCCAGAUAACACACAACAUUUUUUACAUUCGUACAAGGGCUUUAUGCUUUUUUCUCGGCAUCCAAUUACAGGUGGAACAUCCUAAAAAGUCAUAUUGAAACGAGUAACGAAGGAAAAUUAAAGAAAGAUCAGAGAAAGCUAAUUGUAAAAACCCUGAGUGACACAAGAAGGUCUGCUAGGGCAGAAGCCCUUCGAGCUUUAAAAAUAAGUCGACAUGAAUUAAAAGAUGCUUUUGAAGAGCUAAAUAAAGACGAUACUCAGACACCAGGAACACAAUGCACAGCCAAUGGGUUUCUAAAAACAAUUGGAAAUUUCCAAAUCGUGUUAUUAACUGUGAUCUGGGACGAAAUUCUCGAGAGAGUUGAUGAAACAACUAAACUCUUCAAAUCAAAAUUUAGAUCUAUUUCGUGCUACAAAGGAACUUGAAACACUUUCCUCGUUUGAGAUGAUUUCGAGUCCAAAGCAUUGAAACUUGCAGAAAAAGAAGAAGCUGUAUAUGACAAAGUAUGAAAAAUAAAGUUAUUACCAGAUGAAAAGAAGGACAGAAGCAUGGAAGAAACAUCUCCCCGAGAAAGAUUUUGCACUGGGGUGUUUAUUGCCAUUGUUCACAACAUAGCUUCGCAGCUCAACAAAAGGAGGGAGGCCUAUAAAAAUUUCGACAUAAGAUUUAAGAUCUUACAAAAUCUAGAAGAGAAAAAUUCCAAAGAGGUGGCUUGUGAAGCUAAACUGUUAGGAGAAGUAUACAUGAACGAUAUUGAUGGGCAAGACUUAAACCAUAGCUUUUCAGCUUUGAAAAGAGUGAAGUCAGAAAAUAUUAGAUCGUCGAUGGUUGAUGAAAAGCUUAAUGGUUUAUUGUUGCUGUGCACCCAAAUCGACAUUAUUUUAAAAUUAGACUACAAAAACAUUAUUGACGACUUUGCAACACGGAAAACCAGAAAAAAGCUAUUGUAUGAAUCUCUAGUCAGUCUAGUGGUAAGCCAACAAAACAAAAAUAAUCCAAAGAAAUUGUCACUAAACGAAUACUAUAAAUAAUAUAAAUACUUCAAAUGUAAAGAAGGGAGGGUGGGUGGUCCGUGAGGUAUGUUACACACAUUCCCACCGGAGACCAGUAGAUACCUCAUGGCUACCGGUUGCUAGUCCGGGACACGGCAGGUCCAUAGGUGAUGGAUAAUUGGAAGGCUCUCGAAAAGAAUCAGGAUAAGUUGUAAAGGAAAGUUAAGGGACAUUAAGUCUAGAGUCCCUCCCGAACCAAAACUGGCAUUUCAGACUAAAUCUAAAGUUAUGGGGUAUAGGCGUUAUGGUAGGGCUUGUGGGGGGUCUUAGUCAGCUGGCAGGGGUAUAAAAAGAGGCGCAACUCUUCGUUGUGCCUAGGGCGCAGGCAGGGUUUAAAAUGGGCCUGCUGUUUGGACGGACCUCAUGUGUGGAUCACAACAAUUUUCUCAUAUAACCCAACAAUUGGUGUUGGAACAUAGCAUCAUUCAUGCUGUUUGGACAGACCUCAUUUGUGGAUCACAACAAUUUUCUCAUAUAACCCAACAAUUGGUGUUGGAACAUAACAUCAUUCAUGCUGUUUGGAUGGACCUUAUGUGUGGAUCACAACAAUUUUCUCAUAUAACCCAACAAUUUGUGUUGGAAACAUUAACAUAAUUGAUUCUCGAAAAUAAUAUUUUUGUUCUAACUGCGCAAUAAUGUUUCCUACAGUUUACUCCAGCAUUCUUUGUUUAUUGAAAUAAUUAAUAUUUCAAGCAAUAAAAACAGAUUUAUUGAAAUUAGGCGAGCAUUAUAAAAGUGAAAUCAGGAAACUAAUUGUUCUUACUUUGAAAAUAAAACUAAGAUAAAACAUCUGUUCUUUUCAAUUGUGUAAAAACGCCAUAUAGUAUUCUAGAUAUGCUUGUUACAUAAUAAAUAAUGAAAUACUGAACAAAAAAUAUGCAUGAAAGCUUUUUCAAAUUGUUGAAAAUAUAUAUACAAGAGUUAAAAUGUAAUAACCUGACACCAUUUUUAUUUUAACAGCAACAGAUAUAAAUGAAUUACCGAACCUAUCGGAAAUAAAGUGGUGAUUAGAGGAAGGGAAAAUGGGUGGUUCAUUCGAACUGUAGACACUGUAUAGACAUAAGCUGUAAGGUUUGAGAUUUGCACACUAGUCUUGUUAAAUACUAAUAAUUAAAUUUUGGAUUCUUUUAAAAAUUAUAUUAAUUAUAAUGAAAAAUAAACUUAAAAGUAGUAUAACAAGCUUAUGGGGGAUUAUUUCCAAAUCAAGGUACAGUCUUAAUUGAUUUUGAGCUCUAAGUUCUUCAAAUAACACAAUUUAUCAUCUACUACUACAAUGAAUAUUUGUUUUAGGUUAAUUACUAUGUAACAUUUAUUGUGCUGCUCAAUUUAAUUUUAUACAAAUGUGUGAUCGUUUGAAGCUAGAAUGAAGAAACCCACACCAAUCAUUGUUGUAUUGUUGUUGUUUAUUGUUAAUUUCCAGUCAAUGUUUUUAUUUUUGUAUGUAACAAUGUAACGAUGAAAGUGCCAUAAUGAAUGUGUAUAAUUUAGGCUGUGAUGGAAGUUAGGCUUAAUGUUUUAUUAAUGUUCAAGAGUUUAGUGGAUCACAAAUAAAAGGAUGAAUUCUGA